AGCUCGGCAGUCAGACUACGAAUGAUAAGAUCCGUGGUCAAAAGGGAAACAGCCCAGAUCGUCAGCUAAGGUCCCAAAGUGUAAGUUAAGUGGGAAAGGAUGUGAGAUUUCUAAGACAACUAGGAUGUUGGCUUAGAAGCAGCCAUUCAUUAAAAGAGUGCGUAAUAGCUCACUAGUCGAGAGAUCUUGCGCCGAAAAUGUAACGGGGCUAAACUUACCACCGAAGCUACGGGCUUGAACUUAGUUCAAGCGGUAGGAGAGCGUCGUAACCGGGCUGAAGUCGUACCGUAAGGAGCGGUGGACUGGUUACGAGUGAGAAUGUUGGCAUCAGUAGCGAGAUGUGGGUGAGAAUCCCACAGGCCGAAAACCUAAGGUUUCCUCAGGAAGGUUCGUCCGCUGAGGGUUAGUCGGGACCUAAGCCGAGGCCGAAAGGCGUAGGUGAUGGACAACUGGUUGAUAUUCCAGUACCACUACCAUCGUUAUUAUCGAUGGCGUGACGCAGGAGGAUAGUGUGUGCUAGCUAUUGGAUGCUAGUCUAAGCGUUUAGGCAGUGAGAGUAGGCAAAUCCGCUCUCAUAAUGCUGAGGCGUGAUGGGGAAGGUUCCACGGAACCGAAGUACAUGAUUCCACGCUGCCAAGAAAAGCGUCUAGAGAGAGAAGUAGUGCCCGUACCGCAAACCGACACAGGUAGGUGAGGAGAGAAUCCUAAGGCCGGCGGAAGAAUUACAGUUAAGGAACUCGGCAAAUUGACCCCGUAAGUUCGCGAGAAGGGGUGCCUACGAGAGUAGGCCGCAGAGAAUAGGCCCAAGCAACUGUUUAGCAAAAACACAGGUCUCUGCUAAAGCGUAAGCUGAUGUAUAGGGGCUGACGCCUGCCCGGUGCUGGAAGGUUAAGGGGAACACUUAGCGCAAGCGAAGGUGUGAACUUAAGCCCCAGUAAACGGCGGCCGUAACUAUAACGGUCCUAAGGUAGCGAAAUUCCUUGUCAGGUAAGUUCUGACCCGCACGAAUGGCGUAAUGACUUGGGCACUGUCUCAACUGUAAAUCCGGCGAAGUUGUAGUGCGAGUGAAGAUGCUCGCUACCCGCGAUUGGACGGAAAGACCCCGUAGAGCUUUACUGUAGCUUAGCAUUGAGUUUUGGUAUUGUCUGUACAGGAUAGGUGGGAGACUAGGAAACCAGGGCGUCAGCCUUGGUGGAGUCAACCUUGGGAUACCACCCUGACAGUACUGAAAUUCUAACUGGCGGCCAUGAAUCUGGUCACAGGACAUUGUUAGGUGGGCAGUUUGACUGGGGCGGUCGCCUCCUAAAAAGUAACGGAGGCGCCCAAAGGUUCCCUCAGAACGGUCGGAAAUCGUUCGAAGAGUGCAAAGGCAGAAGGGAGCCUGACUGCGACACCCACAAGUGGAGCAGGGACGAAAGUCGGGCUUAGUGAUCCGGUGGUACCUCGUGGGAGGGCCAUCGCUCAACGGAUAAAAGCUACCUCGGGGAUAACAGGCUGAUCUCCCCCAAGAGUCCACAUCGACGGGGAGGUUUGGCACCUCGAUGUCGGCUCGUCGCAUCCUGGGGCUGAAGUAGGUCCCAAGGGUUGGGCUGUUCGCCCAUUAAAGCGGCACGCGAGCUGGGUUCAGAACGUCGUGAGACAGUUCGGUCCCUAUCCGUCGCGGGCGUAGGAAAUUUGAGAGGAGCUGUCCUUAGUACGAGAGGACCGGGAUGGACUGACCUCUGGUGUACCAGUUGUUCCGCCAGGAGCACAGCUGGGUAGCUAAGUCGGGAAUGGAUAAACGCUGAAAGCAUCUAAGCGUGAAGCCAACCUCAAGAUGAGAUUUCCCAUAGCGUAAGCUAGUAAGAUCCCUUGAAGAACACAAGGUUGAUAGGUCGGGGGUGUAAGCAUGGUAACAUGUUCAGCUGACCGAUACUAAUAGAUCGAGGGCUUGACCAA
RNAcentral lists this ribosomal RNA (1938 nucleotides) under Clostridium perfringens. RNAcentral's name for it is "partial 23S ribosomal RNA". It matches the Rfam family "Bacterial large subunit ribosomal RNA", at positions 974 to 2925 of the family's 2925-position model. Lineage: Bacteria; Bacillati; Bacillota; Clostridia; Eubacteriales; Clostridiaceae. The record is from RNAcentral.